UCCCGGUUGGCCCGGGCAGUCUCGCAUGAAAAAUACAACAUACGACGAGGGUUGCGCUCGUUGCGGGACUUAACCCAACAUCUCACGACACGAGCUGACGACGGCCAUGCAGCGCCUGUCACUAGGCUCCCUAAGGCACUCCCUGAUUUCUCAGGGAUUCCUAGGAUGUCAAGCCUGGGUAAGGUUCUCCGCGUAGCGUCAAAUUAAACCACAUCAUCCACCGCUUGUGCGGGUCCCCGUCAAUUCCUUUGAGUUUUAGCCUUGCGGCCGUACUUCCCAGGCGGCAUACUUAUCGCGUUAGCUUCGUCUCACAGGGGGUCGAUACCCCAUAAGACUAGUAUGCAUCGUUUACGGCGUGGACUAC
Molecule: unclassified non-coding RNA, 364 nt
Filed under: uncultured bacterium
Lineage: Bacteria
Description: contains 16S-23S intergenic spacer region
Source: RNAcentral